CUAGCAGGAGAAUCUUGAGGUUUCAGAAAAGAUGCCCGGGACAGGGCAACGGCGGCGCAAGCCAAAUUGAGUUUACUUUUCAAGAACAUCUGGUACUCCUCGGAAUCCACCGGAAUAUUCGGAGGAGCACCAGGAGCAGCAGCUACAUUAAACGGCGGGGUACGUCGCGCAUUGCUAAAUGACGAUGAAGCAGUCGUUUUGUCAUUGUCCUUGAUCUCAAGGACGUCGCUUUUGUCACCAGCAGGAGCUGAAGAAGAUUGCGGCGAGGAGUCAGAGGCAGAAGCAGAAACAGCAAUAACAGAAGCCUCUUGGAGGAAGCGCUGGAAGGCCCACUCAGAUUCGCUCCGGUUCAUCUUGGAGGGAUC
Molecule: unclassified non-coding RNA, 365 nt
Filed under: Hevea brasiliensis (rubber tree)
Lineage: Eukaryota; Viridiplantae; Streptophyta; Magnoliopsida; Malpighiales; Euphorbiaceae
Source: RNAcentral